UGACCUCGAAGCGACGUAAUGUUUCGGGGAAAUUGGAAAGUAAGAAGACAGGGAGACUCCGAGCCCGAAGGACUAUUUGGCACCGAAAUGUGGUUUCGGGCGGCAGUGCCCUGUGGGCCCAAAAUGUGGGUCCGGCCGGGGUGAGUGCGGUGAGCCUGAGAAGAGGAGGAA
Molecule: long non-coding RNA, 171 nt
Organism: Mustela erminea (ermine)
Lineage: Eukaryota; Metazoa; Chordata; Mammalia; Carnivora; Mustelidae
Exons: 3
Source: RefSeq, a predicted model, not a curated record